AGCCAGGCCCUACGCAAGCGGUCGCCGCCUAACUCCGCCAGGUUCGGAAGAAAGCAACGGUAAGCGAUCGGCCGCUGUGCCGUAGCAAGCCUGGCUACG
This 99-nucleotide signal recognition particle RNA is filed under the name Spirochaetaceae bacterium. RNAcentral's name for it is "signal recognition particle sRNA small type". It matches the Rfam family "Bacterial small signal recognition particle RNA". Rfam says of the family: The signal recognition particle (SRP) is a universally conserved ribonucleoprotein involved in the co-translational targeting of proteins to membranes. Archaeal SRP consists of a 7S RNA and homologues of the eukaryotic SRP19 and SRP54 proteins. Lineage: Bacteria; Pseudomonadati; Spirochaetota; Spirochaetia; Spirochaetales; Spirochaetaceae. The record is from RNAcentral.